RNAcentral lists this ribosomal RNA (1544 nucleotides) under uncultured Glomus. Its description in RNAcentral is "eukaryotic LSU rRNA". The stretch from base 704 to 1544 matches the Rfam family "Eukaryotic large subunit ribosomal RNA", at positions 1 to 694 of the family's 3401-position model. The record is from RNAcentral. Lineage: Eukaryota; Fungi; Glomeromycota; Glomeromycetes; Glomerales; Glomeraceae.
UAUUGCUCUUGAACGAGGAAUCCCUAGUAAGCACAAGUCAUCAGCUUGUGCUGAUUACGUCCCUGCCCUUUGUACACACCGCCCGUCGCUACUACCGAUUGAAUGGCUUAGUGAGGCCUUCGGAUUGAGAUUCGGAGUUUGGCAACAGACCCUGGGUUUUGAAAAGUUGGUCAAACUUGGUCAUUUAGAGGAAGUAAAAGUCGUAACAAGGUUUCCGUAGGUGAACCUGCGGAAGGAUCAUUACCAAUUUUAGCGGACCUGAUCCUUUGGGUUAUGGUCUCGCGAAAAAACUGUAUUUAAAACCCCACUCUUCAUAUAAAAUGAAUUAUAUAAAUAAUAAAAUUGAGAUCACUUUCAACAACGGAUCUCUUGGCUCUCGCAUCGAUGAAGAACGUAGCGAAGUGCGAUAAGUAUUGUGAAUUGCAGAAUUCCGUGAAUCAUCGAAUCUUUGAACGCAAAUUGCACUCUCUUCGGAGAGUAUGCCUGUUUGAGGGUCAGUAUAAUUUAAAUCGGUGUGUUGAUCCUAGACACUCCGGAGUUUGAGUUAUCUUAACCUUUUUAGGUUAAGAGGCCUAAAAUUGAUAUCUUUUGCGCAUUUUUUAGUCGUACAUAAAAUUUUUUUUAUUCGCCUAUUGUUAAUGCCAAAAUUUACUAGAUACGACCACAAUGUAUAUGGCUACGUGUCUAUAAUUUUUUCAUGAUUUGACCUCAAAUCAGGUAGGAGUACCCGCUGAACUUAAGCAUAUCAAUAAGCGGAGGAAAAGAAAAUAACAAUGAUUCCCUUAGUAACUGCGAGUGAAGAGGGAUAAGCUCAAAUUUUAAAUCUGUUAGGUUCUCCUGACCGAGUUGUAAUUUGAAGAAGCGUUUUCUGUGCAGUUUGGUCAGUCUAAGUCCUAUUGAAUGAGGCAUCAUGGAGGGUGAUAAUCCCGUGAGGUUGACCAUUGCGCUUUACGAUACGCUUUCUAAGAGUCAAGUUGUUUGGGAAUGCAGCUUAAAAUGGGAGGUAAAUUUCUCCUAAGGCUAAAUAACGGCGAGAGACCGAUAGCGAACAAGUACCGUGAGGGAAAGAUGAAAAGAACUUUGAAAAGAGAGUUAAAUAGUACGUGAAAUUGUUGAAAGGGAAACGAUUGAAGCCAGUCGUACCUGCGGGUAAUCAGCCUUUUGGGUGUGAUUAUGUGGAGCGUGAGGAGCUAAUCGCCUUCAUCUUUGCAUAUUCGUGCACUUUGGGUGUACUUGCUCGUGUGUAGGUUAACAUCAAUUUUGAUCGUCAUAAAAUGACUGGGGGAAUGUAGCUUCGAUCUCGUAUUGGAGUGUUAUAGCCUUCGGUAGAUGUGAUGAUUAGGAUUGAGGAUUGCAACGGAUACCCUUCGGGGCUAACUGUCUGAUCUCUGAAAGUUGCUCUGGUGCUGAAAGCUUGCUUAUGGUAUCAAAGUUGACGUUCAAUAGGUUAGAACGGGAUAAAUUCGUUAAGGAUGUUGACGUAAUGGCUUUAAACGACCCGUCUUGAAACACGGACCAAGGAGUCUAACAUAUAUGCGAGUGUU